UCUGAUUGAUGUUAUCUUUCAAG
This 23-nucleotide non-coding RNA is filed under the name Arabidopsis thaliana (thale cress). The record is from RNAcentral. Lineage: Eukaryota; Viridiplantae; Streptophyta; Magnoliopsida; Brassicales; Brassicaceae.